Molecule: RNA transcript, 4355 nt
Organism: Rhopalosiphum padi (bird cherry-oat aphid)
Lineage: Eukaryota; Metazoa; Arthropoda; Insecta; Hemiptera; Aphididae
Gene name: NADH-ubiquinone oxidoreductase chain 1-like
Exons: 1
Source: RefSeq, a predicted model, not a curated record
UAUAUUUGUUAUAAUUAUUAAUUUUUUGAUUUUAUUUUUAAUAGUUUUUAUAAGAGUUGCUUUUUUUACUUUAUUAGAGCGUAAAGUUUUAGGUUAUAUUCAAUUACGUAAAGGUCCGAAUAAGUUUUUGAUUAAAGGUAUUUUUCAACCUAUAGGUGAUGGGUUAAAAUUAUUUUUUAAAGAAGUUAAUUAUCCGAGUAAUAUAAAUUUUUUUAUUUUUAUAAUUUCUCCUUUAUUGGGUUUAUUAAUUUCAAUUUUUUUUUGAUUUAUUUAUCCUUAUAUUGGUAUGAACUAUAUUAUAGGAUUUGGUUUAAUUUAUAUAUUUUGUUGUUCAAGUUUAAUAGUUUAUAUUUUUUUAAUAAUUAGAUGAUCUUCGAAUUCUAAUUAUUCAGUUUUAGGUAUAAUUCGGUUUAUUUCUCAAAUGAUUUCAUAUGAAGUUAGAAUAAUAAUUAUUAUUAUAAAUUUAAUAUUUUUAAUUAAUAGUUUUAAUUUAAAUGAUUUUUAUAUCUAUCAAAUUAAUUUAAAAUUUUUUUUUUUUCUUUUUUUUUUGUUUAUUUUAUUAUUAAUUAGAUUUUUAGCUGAAAUAAAUCGUUCUCCUUUUGAUUUUUCUGAGGGUGAAUCAGAAUUAGUUUCUGGAUUUAAUAUUGAAUUUAGAAGUUUAUCUUUUAUUUUUAUUUUUAUAUCUGAAUAUAUAAGAAUUAUAUUUAUAGGGAUACUAUUAUGUGAAAUGUUUUUUGGUUUGAUAAUAAAUAAAUUUUAUUUAAAUAUUUUUAUUUUGAUUUUUAUAUUUAUAGUUAUUUGAUUACGUGGGUUUUUACCACGAUUUCGUUAUGAUAAAUUAAUAUAUUUAGUUUGGAAAUUAAUUUUACCUUUGUCUUUAUUUUUAUUUGUCUUUAAUUUUUCUAUUAAAUUAUUUAACUUAUAUCAUUAAUUUAAGUAUUAAGUUAAUAGAAUUAAAUUCUAUUUUUUAUUUUCAAAAUAAAUAUUUUAAAUAAAUUAAUUAACUAAAUUAAUAAUUUAUCUCAUAACUUUAUGAUAUAAAAGUUAAUGAAAAAGUAAGAAAAAUAAAUUGUUGUAAAAAUUUGCCCUGUUGUAAUAAAUGGGUAUUCAACUGGUUGUAUCCCAAUUCAGGUUAAAAUAAAAAAUGUUAUAAUAAAUAUUCAGAAUAAAAAUUUAUUUAAUGGGUAAAAUUUAUUUCUUAAAAAAUUUUUAUUGUUUAAUAUAGGUAAGAUUAAUAAAAUUAAAAUUGAAAGUAUUAAAGCAAUAACCCCUCCUAAUUUAUUAGGGAUUGCUCGUAAAAUUGAAUAAGAAAAUAAAAAAUAUCAUUCUGGUUGAAUGUGAUUUGGUGUAAUUAUUGAAUUUGCUAUAAUAAAAUUAUUGUGAUCAUUUAGUAGGUAUGGAAAAAUUAAAGCUAAAAUAAAAAAUAUUCAUAUAAAUAUGAUUAAUCCAAUUAAAUCUUUAAUUAGAAAAUAUGGAGAAAAAGUAAUUUUAUCAAAAUUUCUAUUAAUUCCUAGUGGAUUAUUAGAACCUGUUAAAUGAAGAAAGAAUAAGUGAAUAAAAGUAAAUAAAAUAAUAAUAAAUGGUAAAAUAAAAUGGAUUGAGAAAAAUCGUGUUAAUGUAGCAUUAUUAAUUGAGAAUCCCCCUCAAAUUCAAAUAACAAUUGAAUUUCCUAAAUAAGGAAUUGCUGAUAAUAAAUUUGUGAUUACUGUUGCCCCCCAAAAUGAUAUUUGUCCUCAUGGUAAUACAUAACCUACAAAUGCUGUUAUUAUUGUUAAUAAUAAUAAAAUUACUCCAAUAAUUCAUGUUAUUUUAAAGUUGAAAGAAUUUAUAUAGAUACCUCGUCUAAUAUGAAUAUAAAUUAUAAUAAAAAAUAUAGAAGCCCCAUUUGCAUGGAAAGAUCGGAUUAAUCAUCCAAAGUUAAUAUUUCGAUUUAUAUUAAUAAUUCUUUGAAAAGCUAAAUUAAUAUCUGUUUUAUAAUGGAAGGCUAAAAAUAAUCCUGUUAAAAUUUGAUUAAUUAAACAAAUUAUUAAUAAAGAUCCAAAAUUUCAUAUAAAACUAAUUCUAGCUGGUGUAGGUAAAUUUAAUAUUGGGGAUAAAGUUUUUAGUAUAUUUUUUUUCAUUAAUUAUUUUUUUGUCGAAUUGGUCCUUUAUUAAUUUUUAGUAUUCAAAUAAUUAAAAUUAAUAUAAAAAAAAGGAUUAAGAUAAUUAAAUAAAUUAUUAAAUUAUUUGGUAUUAUGAAUAUAUUUAAUAAAUUAAAAUUAUCUUCAAAUAUAAAUUUAUUUUCAUAAUUGAAAUUUUCAAGAUUGAGAUUUAAUUUUAAAUAAAAGAUUAACAUUAAAAUUAAUGUUAAUUUAUAAAUUAUAAUUUUAUAAUUUUUAUUAAUAUUUAAUUCAUUAAAAGCAAUUCUUGAAAUAUAUAAAAAAAUAAUUAUUAAUCCUCCAAUGUAUAAGAUAAAUACUAUAAAUGAAAUUCAUGCUGUUUUAGUAAUUAUAUUAAUUAUUAAUGUUAAAGUUAUAGUUUGAAUUAAAAUGAUUAAGUUUGAUCUAAUUGGUGAUUUUAUUAUAGUUAAUAAAAUUGCUAUGGUUAAAUUAGUUAAUAAAAUAAAUUUUAAAAUUCAGUAUAUAUUUUAAUUAAAAUAUUAAUUUUGGAGAUUAAUGAUAAUAUGUAUAUAUUUAUACUGAUUUAUUUUAAAUAAUUUUAUAAUUUUGAUUUACAAUAUCAAUGUUUUUUUUAAACUAUUAAAAUGAUAAAUUUAUUUAUUUUAGUAUUAAUAUUUAUAUUAUUUUCUGGAGUUUUAUUUUAUAUUUUUAAUUUUAAUCAUUUAUUAAUAAUACUUUUAGGAUUAGAAUAUUUAUUAUUAAUUUUAUCUUUAUUAUUUUUAUUAAAUUUAAUAAUAUUUAUUAAACAAUAUGUUUUAUUAUUAAUUUUUUUUAUUUUUUGUAUUAGUGAAAGAGUUUUAGGUUUAACAAUUUUGAUUUUAAUAGUUCGUAUAUAUGGUAAUGAUUACUUAAAGUCAUUAAUAAUUUUACAAUGUUAAUAAUUUUAAUAUUAAUUUUAUUUAGUAUGAUUUUUUUUAGUCUUAAUUUUAAAAGAUGAUGAUUAGCCCAGAAUUUUUUUUUUUUUUUUUUUUUUUUUAUAUAUUUCAAGAUACCUAUGUUUAAUUAUUUUUUAAAUGUUAGUUAUUUAUUUGGUAUAGAUAUAUUUUCUUAUUUGAUAUUUAUAUUAGGUGUUUGAAUUAUUAGAUUAGUUUAUAUUUCUAGAUUUAGUCUUAAGAAUAAUUAUUUAAAGUAUUUUAAUUUUUUAAUAUUUAUUUUUAUUAUUAUUUUUUAUUUUUGUUUUUUUAGAAAUAAUUUUAUUUUAUUUUAUAUUUUUUAUGAAAUUAAUUUAAUUCCUGUUAUUAUUUUAAUUUAUGGUUGAGGUUAUCAAUAUGAGCGUUUUAAGGCUGGUUUUUAUUUAUUUAUUUAUAUAAUUUUUUUUUCUUUACCUUUUUUUUCUUGUUUAUUGAGUUUAAAUAAUUUUAAUUUUAUAUUUAUAUAUUAUUAUGAUUACUUAUAUAAUUUAAAUUUUUAUUAUUAUUUAUUUUUAAUAAUAAUUUUUUUAGUUAAGAUACCUUUAUUUAUAUUUCAUAUUUGACUUCCAAAGGCUCAUGUUGAGGCUCCUAUUAGUGGUUCAAUAAUUUUAGCUGGGAUUAUAUUAAAAUUAGGUGGUUUUGGUAUUUAUCAUGUUUUAAUAUUAGUUUUUAAAGUUAACUUAAAAUUUAAUUAUUUAUUUAUUUCUUUAUGUUUAUUAGGUAUAUUGGUUUUAAGAUUAGUUUGUUUUUUUCAGAGAGACUUAAAAAUUUUGAUUGCUUAUUCUUCUGUUGUUCAUAUAGCUUUAGUAAUUAUUGGGUUUUUAACUUUAAAUAAUUGUGGUUAUUUUGGUUCAUUAAUUUUAAUAUUUGGCCAUGGUUUAUGUUCUUCUGGUUUAUUUUGUUUAAGAAAUAUUUGUUAUUUACGUUUUAAAAGUCGAAGUUUAUUUUUAAAUAAGGGUUUAAUUAAUAUUUAUCCUGUUUUAUCAUUUUGGUGAUUUUUAUUAUGUUCUUCAAAUAUAUCUUUUCCCCCAUCUUUAAAUUUAUUUGGUGAAUUAUUUUUAUUAAUUAGUUUAAUAAUUUGAUUAGAUUAUUUUUAUAUAUUAUAUUUUUUAAUUAUAAUUUUAAUAUUUUUAUAUAGUUUAUAUUUAUAUUUAUAUACUCAAUAUGGUAAAUUAUUUUUUAAUAUAAAUUAUUUAGUUUAUAUUAAUUUAAGAGAAUAUAUAUUAUUAUUUAUGCAUUGAGUUCCAUUAAAUUUAAUUUUUUUAAUUAUAGAAUUAUUUUGUUA